This 253-nucleotide ribosomal RNA is filed under the name uncultured bacterium. RNAcentral describes it as "partial 16S ribosomal RNA". It matches the Rfam family "Bacterial small subunit ribosomal RNA", at positions 524 to 776 of the family's 1533-position model. The record is from RNAcentral. RNAcentral also lists the same sequence under 1 other name.
UACGGAGGGUGCGAGCGUUGUCCGGAAUCACUGGGCGUAAAGGGCGCGUAGGCGGCGCGGGCAGUCAACGGUGAAAGCUCGGAGCUCAACUCCGAGUCGGCCGUCGAUACUCCCGUGCUUGAGCACUGUAGAGGCAGAUGGAAUUCCGGGUGUAGCGGUGGAAUGCGUAGAGAUCCGGAAGAACACCGGUGGCGAAGGCGGUCUGCUGGGCAGUAGCUGACGCUGAUGCGCGACAGCGUGGGGAGCAAACAGG